This 112-nucleotide transfer RNA is filed under the name Candidatus Aenigmatarchaeota archaeon. Its description in RNAcentral is "tRNA-Thr". It matches the Rfam family "tRNA". Rfam says of the family: Transfer RNA (tRNA) molecules are approximately 80 nucleotides in length. Their secondary structure includes four short double-helical elements and three loops (D, anti-codon, and T loops). Lineage: Archaea; Nanobdellati; Candidatus Aenigmatarchaeota. The record is from RNAcentral.
GCCUCGGUAGCUCAGUGGUAGUUUCGAGCGAAGCAGAUGAAAUCUGCUUCAACCGCUACGGAGCGUUCGCUUGGUAAGCGAAAGGUCGCGAGUUCAAUCCUCGCCCGAGGCU